This is a long non-coding RNA of Prionailurus viverrinus (fishing cat), 323 nucleotides long. RefSeq lists it as uncharacterized. The transcript has 3 exons. Lineage: Eukaryota; Metazoa; Chordata; Mammalia; Carnivora; Felidae. The record is from RefSeq and is a predicted model, not a curated record.
ACAAAAAUAUAAGCAAGAGGCUGUAGUUACAAAUGAUCAUCCAUCCCAAGUCCCCAUGGAUGAAUGGAGGCAGUUCACAGCAUCUGAUUACACGGGCCCAACCACAGGAACAUAGCUCCAUUCCCAUUCAACUGUGAUCCUGUUUGACCCAUUGUUCCAGCCUGUUGGGAUCUUCUCGAAUCCCGACUCUGUCAUUCAGUGCUUUACCUUCCAACUUUGUAUCAUCAUUUGAGAAUCUGUACCAGAGUGUAACAUCUACUAGUCAUUAAGAUCUGACUUACCCACUUGCCCAAGCCUGGAUAGUCAUGUUCUGGAUCAAAGAG